RNAcentral lists this ribosomal RNA (196 nucleotides) under uncultured bacterium. RNAcentral describes it as "partial 16S ribosomal RNA". It matches the Rfam family "Bacterial small subunit ribosomal RNA", at positions 326 to 539 of the family's 1533-position model. The record is from RNAcentral.
ACGCUCGACACCUACAGGCAGCAGUCGGGAAUAUUGCGCAAUGGAGGAAACUCUGACGCAGUGACGCCGCGUAUAGGAAGAAGGUUUUCGGAUUGUAAACUAUUGUCGUUAGGGAAGAGAAAGGACAGUACCUAAGGAGGAAGCUCCGGCUAACUACGUGCCAGCAGUCGCGGUAAUCUGAGCGGGCUGGCAAGGC